CGCUCGCCCAGCUACAGCCGCCACAGCUCCUACGAGCGGGGCGGCGACGUAUCCCCCAGCCCGUACAGCAGCAGCAGCUGGCGGCGCUCGCGCAGUCCCUACAGUCCAGUACUCAGACGAUCUGCCAAAUCCCGAAGCAGAAGCCCCUAUUCAUCUAGGCACUCAAGAUCUCGUAGCAGGCACAGAUUGUCUAGAUCCCGAAGUCGUCAUUCAAGCAUUUCUCCUAGCACACUAACUCUGAAGAGUAGCCUGGCAGCUGAAUUAAACAAGAAUAAAAAGGCACGAGCUGCAGAGGCAGCAAGAGCUGCAGAGGCAGCCAAAGCUGCAGAAGCUGCUAAGGCUGCUGAGGCAGCUGCCAAAGCUGCAAAAGCCUCUAGUGUUUCUACACCUACCAAGGGGAACACAGAAACUGGUGCCAGUGUCUCACAGACAAACCAUGUGAAGGAAGUCAAAAAACUUAAAACUGAGCAUGCACCUUCUCCUUCAAGUGGUGGGACUGUCAAAAGUGACAAGACAAAAACAAAGCCACCGCUUCAAGUAACAAAAGUAGACAAUAAUUUGAUUGUAGAGAAAGCUACCAAGAAAACAGUUGUUGGGAAAGAGAGUAAACCUGCUGCUACAAAGGAAGAACCAGUGUCUACUAAAGAGAAAACCAAGCCACUCACACCAAGUGUAGGAGCCAAGGAGAAGGAGCAACAUGUGGCUUUAGUGACCUCUACAUUACCACCAUUACCUUUGCCUCCCAUGUUGCCUGAAGAUAAAGAUGCUGAUAG
RNAcentral lists this long non-coding RNA (773 nucleotides) under Rattus norvegicus (Norway rat). Its description in RNAcentral is "long non-coding RNA NONRATT012497". Lineage: Eukaryota; Metazoa; Chordata; Mammalia; Rodentia; Muridae. The record is from RNAcentral.